UGGGGAAUAUUGGGCAAUGGACGAAAGUCUGACCCAGCAACGCCGCGUGAAGGAAGAAGGCUUUCGGGUUGUAAACUUCUUUUAAGGGGGAAGAGCAGAAGACGGUACCCCUUGAAUAAGCCACGGCUAACUACGUGCCAGCAGCCGCGGUAAUACGUAGGUGGCAAGCGUUGUCCGGAUUUACUGGGUGUAAAGGGCGUGCAGCCGGGAAGGCAAGUCAGAUGUGAAAUCUGGAGGCUCAACCUCCAAACUGCAUUUGAAACUGCUUUUCUUGAGUAUCGGAGAGGUAAUCGGAAUUCCUUGUGUAGCGGUGAAAUGCGUAGAUAUAAGGAAGAACACCAGUGGCGAAGGCGGAUUACUGGACGACAACUGACGGUGAGGCGCGAAAGCGUGGGGAGCAAACAGG
This 406-nucleotide ribosomal RNA is filed under the name uncultured prokaryote. Its description in RNAcentral is "bacterial SSU rRNA". It matches the Rfam family "Bacterial small subunit ribosomal RNA", at positions 355 to 776 of the family's 1533-position model. The record is from RNAcentral. RNAcentral also lists the same sequence under 1 other name.